RNAcentral lists this ribosomal RNA (253 nucleotides) under uncultured bacterium. Its description in RNAcentral is "partial 16S ribosomal RNA". It matches the Rfam family "Bacterial small subunit ribosomal RNA", at positions 524 to 776 of the family's 1533-position model. The record is from RNAcentral.
UACGGGGGGGGCAAGCGUUGUUCGGAAUUACUGGGCGUAAAGGGCUCGUAGGCGGCCAACUAAGUCAGACGUGAAAUCCCUCGGCUUAACCGGGGAACUGCGUCUGAUACUGGAUGGCUUGAGUUUGGGAGAGGGAUGCGGAAUUCCAGGUGUAGCGGUGAAAUGCGUAGAUAUCUGGAGGAACACCAGUGGCGUAGGCGGCUCUCUGGGUCCGCCCUGACGCUGAGGCACGAAAGCGUGGGGAGCGAACGGG